GUAGUAUUCCAUUGUAUACACAAACCACAUAGAGUCUUGACGCCAAGAUUCCUCUUAGCCCCGCCCACAUCACAGAGACUACAAUGGCCACGAGUUCCAGCAGGGGGGUUUCAACCACCUGAGCGGCACAUCUUUGUAAUCAGGGAAACAGCAGUGUACAAGACACUUUGAAAAUCUUUUCACUAGCUCUGGAUUUAGGAGUCUCACUUCCAUAUUAAGAUAUACACGAAACUCUCCUGCCUCCUGACCUCAAGGUGGAUGUUCAGUUGGCCCAAGCCAAUUGUUGGAAAGAUUGUUCUUUCCCUCCUUGAAUCUUCUUGGAACCAUUGUCACAAGUCAACCAAGCAUAAAUAAACUAUGAUGGUAUAAGCAGAAUACCCUAGAAAUUCACAAAGAAACUACUGAAACUAAAUAAGUGGGUUUAAGAAGGAGGAAAGUGGAGGAUAAAAGG
Long non-coding RNA from Acinonyx jubatus (cheetah), 451 nucleotides. RefSeq lists it as uncharacterized. The transcript is spliced from 3 exons. The record is from RefSeq and is a predicted model, not a curated record. NCBI's taxonomy places the organism in Eukaryota, Metazoa, Chordata, Mammalia, Carnivora, Felidae.